UCUGUACAGAAAGUCCUCAUUCCCUUCAUUCCUCGUUGCUGCCUUAGGACAUGGACACCAGUCAUUUCAAGAGUUUGGAGCAUUUGCAGUUCAUUACCAAGGGUGUUGUAGUAGUCAGACCACCAGCAAGGGAAGGAGAAGCAAAGCUGCUUAUGUCUUUUCAGCCUUUUGAUUGUACAAAAACUUCGACAGCAUUGCUGUAAAAAAGAGAGAGGAAACAUCCAGUAAUUCUUCUGAGAUGAUUUCUCCAUACUUUUCAUCUUUUACUGCAAUAGGGAUUGCCAGGGAACUAUCCAAGAAAGAAAUGCAGAUAAGCAAUACCACCACCAGAAGGAAAGGGAAGGGGAGGAAAAGAAAGGCAGAAAAUACUUGGGGAUUUUUGUGAAACUCAAACAAAAAGCAAGAGCAGCUCUAAACUGGCAGAGACAAAGAACUGUGUAAGCCUACAGAAGUUCUAGCACUUGCAUGGAUAGAGAGGUACUGACUCACCACUUACAUGAUAUGCAGAUGACUGGUUAUAAGUUUUAAUGUGUGUGGCAAUAUUAACUAAAACCAAGGCAUGUGACAGUAGUGGACUAAGCCAUAACCACACACAUACAC
Molecule: long non-coding RNA, 600 nt
Filed under: Zonotrichia albicollis (white-throated sparrow)
Lineage: Eukaryota; Metazoa; Chordata; Aves; Passeriformes; Passerellidae
Description: lncRNA (ENSZALG00000002359.1)
Source: RNAcentral